GACGAACGCUGGCGGCGUGCUUAACACAUGCAAGUCGAACGGAAAGGCCCUGCCUUUGUGGGGUGCUCGAGUGGCGAACGGGUGAGACACACGUAAGUAACCUGCCCUUGACUUUGGGAUAACUUCAGGAGACUGGGGUUACUACCGGAUAGGAGCUCCUGCUGCAUGGUGGGGGAUGGAAAGUUUGGGCGGUUUGGGAUGGACGGGCGGCUUAUCAGUUUGUUGGUGGGGUAGUGGCUUACCAAGGCUUUGGUGGGUAGCCGGCCUGGGAGGGUGACCGGCCACAUUGGGAUUGGGAUACGGCCCAGACCCCAACGGGAGGCAGCGGUGGGAAAUUUUGCACAAUGGGGGGAAGCCUGAUGCAGCAACCCCGCGUGCGGGAUGACGGCCUUCGGGUGGUAAACCGCUUUCGCCGGGGACGAAGCUGUAGUGACGGUAAUUGCUAAAGAAGCACCGGCUAACUACGUG
This 468-nucleotide ribosomal RNA is filed under the name uncultured bacterium. Its description in RNAcentral is "partial 16S ribosomal RNA". It matches the Rfam family "Bacterial small subunit ribosomal RNA", at positions 28 to 507 of the family's 1533-position model. The record is from RNAcentral.